GGACUACCGGGGUAUCUAAUCCCGUUUGCUCCCCUGGCUUUCGUGCCUCAGUGUCAGGUUCUGUCCAGUGACUCGCUUUCGCCUCUGGUGUUCCUCUCGAUAUCUACGCAUUUCACUGCUACACCGAGAAUUCCAGUCACCUCUCCAGACCUCGAGCGAUGCAGUUUCGAAUGCCAUUCCGGAGUUAGGCUCCGGGAUUUCACACCCGACUUGCAUCACCACCUACGCACCCUUUACGCCCAAUAAAUCCGAACAACGCUUGGCACCUCUGUAUUACCGCGGCUGCUGGCAC
Molecule: ribosomal RNA, 292 nt
Filed under: uncultured Verrucomicrobiota bacterium
Lineage: Bacteria; Pseudomonadati; Verrucomicrobiota
Description: uncultured Verrucomicrobia bacterium partial 16S ribosomal RNA
Source: RNAcentral